RNAcentral lists this ribosomal RNA (450 nucleotides) under uncultured bacterium. RNAcentral describes it as "partial 16S ribosomal RNA". It matches the Rfam family "Bacterial small subunit ribosomal RNA", at positions 354 to 796 of the family's 1533-position model. The record is from RNAcentral.
GUGGGGAAUUUUGGAUAAUGGGCGCAAGCCUGAUCCAGCAAUGCCGCGUGCAGGAAGAAGGCCUUCGGGUUGUAAACUGCUUUUGUACGGAACGAAACGGUCCUGGUUAAUACCUGGGGCUAAUGACGGUACCGUAAGAAUAAGCACCGGCUAACUACGUGCCAGCAGCCGCGGUAAUACGUAGGGUGCGAGCGUUAAUCGGAAUUACUUGGCGUAAAGCGUGCGCAGGCGGUGCUGUAAGACAGGCGUGCAAUCCCCGGGCUCAACCUGGGAAUUGCGCUUGUGACUGCAGUGCUGGAGUACGGCAGAGGGGGAUGGAAUUCCGCGUGUAGCAGUGAAAUGCGUAGAUAUGCGGAGGAACACCGAUGGCGAAGGCAGUCCCCUGGGCCUGUACUGACGCUCAUGCACGAAAGCGUGGGGAGCAAACAGGAUUAGAUACCCCUGUAGUCC